AAGAGUGAUAGGUAAUAAUGAAUUAUGUUAUGAGUGUAAAUUAUUCUCAUUUUUGGCAUAUCUUAGUGUAUUUCUUGCUCUCUGUUUCUAACCAAAGAUAAGUGAGCUUAUUGAUCAUAAACAUGUCAUCAUAUCAGAAUUUAUAAGAUAGGCUAUUCAUGUUUGAAGGAUUCAUUUGGUAACUUGCAACUCUAUCAUACCACUCGAUUUGUUGUCUUGUAUUUGAAAUUAAGUAACUAAUCAUUGUAAUUUUUUUAUUCAUAAUAUUUGUCAUUUCACAUUUUGAAUACAUUGAAAAUUUAGUACCUAG
Molecule: long non-coding RNA, 310 nt
Filed under: Arachis ipaensis
Lineage: Eukaryota; Viridiplantae; Streptophyta; Magnoliopsida; Fabales; Fabaceae
Description: long non-coding RNA (AIPA_LNC000876)
Source: RNAcentral